RNAcentral lists this ribosomal RNA (472 nucleotides) under uncultured bacterium. Its description in RNAcentral is "bacterial SSU rRNA". It matches the Rfam family "Bacterial small subunit ribosomal RNA", at positions 329 to 793 of the family's 1533-position model. The record is from RNAcentral.
CUACGCACUCCUACGGGAGGCAGCAGUGGGGAAUAUUGCACAAUGGGCGCAAGCCUGAUGCAGCCAUGCCGCGUGUAUGAAGAAGGCCUUCGGGUUGUAAAGUACUUUCAGCAGUGAGGAAGGUGGGUAUGUUAAUAGCAUAUUCAUUUGACGUUAGCUGCAGAAGAAGCACCGGCUAACUCCGUGCCAGCAGCCGCGGUAAUACGGAGGGUGCGAGCGUUAAUCGGAAUUACUGGGCGUAAAGCGCAUGCAGGUGGUUUGUUAAGUCAGAUGUGAAAGCCCGGGGCUCAACCCUCGGAAUUGCAUUUGAAACUGGCAAACUAGAGUACUGUAGAGGGGGUAGAAUUUCAGGUGUAGCGGUGAAAUGCGUAGAGAUCUGAAGGAAUACCGGUGGCGAAGGCGGCCCCCUGGACAGAUACUGACACUCAGAUGCGAAAGCGUGGGGAGCAAACAGGAUUAGAUACCCUGGUAG